UGGGGAAUAUUGCACAAUGGGCGCAAGCCUGAUGCAGCAACGCCGCGUGAACGAUGAAGGUCUUCGGAUCGUAAAGUUCUGUUGCAGGGGAAGAUAAUGACGGUACCCUGUGAGGAAGCCCCGGCUAACUACGUGCCAGCAGCCGCGGUAAUACGUAGGGGGCUAGCGUUAUCCGGAUUUACUGGGCGUAAAGGGUGCGUAGGUGGUCCUUCAAGUCGGUGGUUAAAGGCUACGGCUCAACCGUAGUAAGCCGCCGAAACUGGAGGACUUGAGUGCAGGAGAGGAAAGUGGAAUUCCCAGUGUAGCGGUGAAAUGCGUAGAUAUUGGGAGGAACACCAGUAGCGAAGGCGGCUUUCUGGACUGCAACUGACACUGAGGCACGAAAGAGUGGGUAGCAAACAGG
Molecule: ribosomal RNA, 403 nt
Filed under: Verrucomicrobiota bacterium
Lineage: Bacteria; Pseudomonadati; Verrucomicrobiota
Description: Verrucomicrobia bacterium partial 16S ribosomal RNA
Rfam family: Bacterial small subunit ribosomal RNA
Source: RNAcentral